UACGUAGGCAGCGAGCGUUGUUCGGAAUUACUGGGCGUAAAGAGUGUGUAGGCGGAGUUCCCAGUCUGUUGUGAAAUCUCCCGGCUUAACUGGGAGGGUGCAGCGGAAACUAGAAUGCUAGAGGGUGGGAGAGGUAAGCGGAAUUCCUGGUGUAGCGGUGAAAUGCGUAGAUAUCAGGAGGAACACCUGUGGUGUAGACAGCUUACUGGACCACUUCUGACGCCGAGACGCGAAAGCGUGGGGAGCGAACAGG
RNAcentral lists this ribosomal RNA (253 nucleotides) under uncultured bacterium. Its description in RNAcentral is "partial 16S ribosomal RNA". It matches the Rfam family "Bacterial small subunit ribosomal RNA", at positions 524 to 776 of the family's 1533-position model. The record is from RNAcentral.